Non-coding RNA from Paralichthys olivaceus (Japanese flounder), 3320 nucleotides. Lineage: Eukaryota; Metazoa; Chordata; Actinopteri; Pleuronectiformes; Paralichthyidae. The record is from RefSeq and is a predicted model, not a curated record.
CGUGGCCCUCAGUGUUCACCAGAGUCACUGGAGUGAGGCAGCAUGGAUGACAUGGAGACCUGGCCAGAGAUACAGAAAGCUGCGACAGAGAAGAGGCGUGAGCUGGUUUUACAGGGUCCUGGUGUGGACACGAGGAUUUCCUCUCAUGGCGGACUCACCUCGUCCAUCUACUCCCUCACCCUGCUCAACUACCUGGAGGUGAGCCAGUGUCCGAGUCUGACAGAGAUCCACGAGGAGAUCCGGAGGCUGACCCACCUACAGAGCCUCAUCCUGUGCAGGAACAAACUCGCCGCCUGCCCGGAUGCCAUCGGCCUCCUCGGGUCCCUGAAGGUCCUGGACCUGUCGGUCAACAACCUGCAGGUUCUACCGGAGGGCAUCACCCAGCUGAGCGAGCUGAACACCCUCAACGUGAGCUGCAACAGCCUGGAGGUCCUGCCCGCCGGCCUGAGCCGCUGCACCAAGCUCUCCACCAUCAACGUCUCCAAGAACCGCAUCACCCGCUUCCCCGCGGACCUCUACUCGGAGCGGCUGGACCUCCUCAGCUCCCUGGUGGCCUCCGACAACUCCAUCGAGGAGCUGAGCGGAGAUGUCCACAAGCUGUCCGCUCUGAAGGUUCUGGAUCUCUCUGGAAACAAGCUGAAGGAAAUCCCGUUUGAUCUGAGCGACUGCCCCAAGCUGAAGGAGAUCAACUUCAAAGGCAACAAGCUGAACGACAAACGCCUUGAAAAGAUGGUCAAUGGUUGCCAGACCAAGUCGAUCCUCGACUACCUCAGAGGAAAAGGGAGACAGGGAGAGGAUGCAGGUGAUGCGGAGGGCGGACGCAACGCAGAUAAAAAGAAAAAGCAGCAGCAGCAGAGGAAGAAAAAGGAAAAGGUGGCAGAGGAACCUGAUGAGGUGGAAGAACUGAACAAGAUGGUGGUGAGGGUUCUCCAUGUUUCGGACGCGCCCACAGCACUGACGGUUAAAGUGAUGGCGGAAGUUAAGGAUGUUCGGCCCUACUUGGUGUGCUGCGUGGUCCGAGGCAUGAACCUAAAGUCUGGGAAUUCUCUCAAACGGUUCCUCGUGGCUCAGACAAAGCUUCACGACGAUUUGUGUGGUAAACGGACCACGGCAACCAUCGCAACUCAUGAUGUGCAGCUUCUCAAAGGUCCACUGACAUAUGACGUCAAACCCCCCACCCAGCUAAAGAUUGUAUCACUGGGCCGGAAGGAGAUGACGGCGGUCGAGCUGAUGAGACACCUUCACCUCGAAGCAGAGGAACUGAGGAAGCAGAAGAAACGACAGAAUGUAACUGGCCUCCACAAAUACCUGCAGCUUUUGCAAGGAAAACCAUUCUAUCCCUGCCUAGUUGACGCAGAGGGACACGUCAUCUCAUUCCCACCUAUUACCAACAGUGAGAACACCAAGAUCAAGAAGACUACCAAAGAGUUGUUUUUGGAAGUGACAAGUUCAACCAGCCUUCAGACCUGUAAAGACAUUAUGGAUGCUCUGAUCGUAAAAAUGGCAGAGUUAAACAAGUUCACAGCAGAUCAUCGGGAGGAGGCGGGGUCAGACGUGGAAGGGGAAGGCCCCACCGAGCCGGCGGAGGCCAGCGACAAGGCCUCCAGCGAACUGAUCGUCCAGCAGGUCCGAACCGUCGACCAAGACGGGAACCUGAAGGUCGUCUACCCAUCGAAGACUGACCUCUCCUUCAACGACAUCAGCAAUUUGACCGUCGUGUGGUAGUCGUGCUGUUGAUAACCUGCGAUGUCUGUAUUUAAAAUGUGUGUGAGUGUAAUCGUUUGAAAAUGUGUAAAGAAAAUAUAUUCAAAUAAGUAUUCAGAUUUGCAAGUGUAUUAAUAUCUGUAAAAAUAUAGAGAGAUUAAUGGCUUAGUAUUUUGCCUCAAGAGCUGAAAAUACUGACAAGUCAUCAGUUUCUGCUCAAUAUGUUUUUUUACACGCGAAAUUUGCUACACAUCUGCUGUGGCAGAGCCGCAAAUGCGCAGCAAUCCGCAAAAAAUAUGUGUCGACAUUUGUCUUUUCAGCAGCUAAAGCCUUAAUACCACUAAGCUGCGGUAGCCAUUAAUCUCCGUGUAUGUUUUCACAGAUCAGAUUUACAGAUAUAAAUACACUUGCAAAUCUGGAUACAUAUUUCAGGAUAUUUUCUUUACACAUUUUCCAAUCUGAUUAAACACAUGGAUCCUGAAUUCGUAUUUGCAUAUAUUUAUUUGUGUACAAAUCCAAUAGCGCACACCCACGGUUUUUGUACAUAUUUCCAAAUUCGAUUAUACACACACAGAUUUUAAAAACAGAUUUGAAGUUUUUUUUUUUACUACACAUUUGGAAAUCUGUUUACACACAUUCAAAGUACAAAUGUGUAGAUCCAUGUACACAUGUAAGAGAUUCUUUUUCACAUUCACAAAUCUGAUUACACACAGAGGCACAUUUACAACAUGAAAAAAUGUAGGGUGAAUUUGUUUUUUGUUUUUUGACAACUUUGAUUGCAAUUGUUUUCUAACCACACCAGAAGAAAGAAUGGUGAUAUCAUACUCAAAGGAGACGUAACACAGCUAUUGGUGCUAUUAGUGUUAGCUGCCUGAAUUUGAUGAUCUUGGAAAAUGACAUUUUAAAAAGCAUUAUGAAAUAGCUGAACAUAUGUCUUCCUAGAAAUAUCAUUAAUUUAUAUUAAAAUAUAAGAGUCAAUUUUCCCAAGCCUAAAUAAAUAAACUUUACAAUAAUUAAAAACAUUCUGUUAAAGCUGUAUCACAUUUUUUAUCAAAUCAAUUGAAAUUCAUUCUACAGCAAGAAAAAAAAAAAUUAUUCAUUCAGUAAUUUGCUGAUUGGGGCUUAUAAUUGACAUUUAACCCUCCCCUUUCUGUAACACCACCCCCAUGAAGUCAUGUUAUUUCCAUGCUAACUUUUAGUAAAAGUAAUAAUAAUCAGAUUGAAGUUAAGAUGUCCCACACUACCCAAUAUCCCAGAUUACCUGAAUUCACCCUACAUGCUUUAACUUCAGGGAGCUCAGGAAAUCCUGGAAGCAUCACCUCUUGAAUUUAAACAUGUAUGAUUAAUGUACAGCUUUUUGAACCACAUGCAUUAUAAUCACAGACAAAGUCCUUUUGCCUCUAACAUAAAGCUUGAUUAGUUCAGACAUUGUCUAAAUACUCUUAUUUUUGUAUUAUUGACAAACUGACAACAACUUACUGUAUACCGAGCAUUGAUAUUCACAUUACUAAAGGAUUUGUAAAGCUGUUUAUCAACACCUGGUAUUUUCCCUCUAAGCAGCAGCAGUUCAUGUCUGUAUGAGGCUUAAUAAACUCUACUUCUGUUUUCACUCAUUA